GAUGAACGCUGGCGGAAUGCUUUACACAUGCAAGUCGAACGGCAGCACGGACUUCGGUCUGGUGGCGAGUGGCGAACGGGUGAGUAAUGUAUCGGAACGUGCCCAGUCGUGGGGGAUAACGUAGUGAAAAUUACGCUAAUACCGCAUACGAUCUAUGGAUGAAAGCGGGGGAUCGCAAGACCUCGCGCGAUUGGAGCGGCCGAUAUCAGAUUAGGUAGUUGGUGGGGUAAAGGCCCACCAAGCCAACGAUCUGUAGCUGGUCUGAGAGGACGACCAGCCACACUGGAACUGAGACACGGUCCAGACUCCUACGGGAGGCAGCAGUGGGGAAUUUUGGACAAUGGGCGAAAGCCUGAUCCAGCCAUUCCGCGUGCAGGAUGAAGGCCCUCGGGUUGUAAACUGCUUUUGUACAGAACGAAAAGGUUUCUACUAAUUCUAGGAGCUCAUGACGGUACUGUAAGAAUAAGCACCGGCUAACUACGUGCCAGCAGCCGCCGUAC
This 500-nucleotide ribosomal RNA is filed under the name uncultured bacterium. Its description in RNAcentral is "partial 16S ribosomal RNA". It matches the Rfam family "Bacterial small subunit ribosomal RNA", at positions 28 to 523 of the family's 1533-position model. The record is from RNAcentral.